AAACAAAAAUGUGUGUGGACACAUACACAUUUUGAAUAUCAUACAUAUUCAAGAUUUAAAAAUAAAACUUACCUGCUAAAAAGUAUCUCGUAAAAUAUAUCUCAUGGACUUUGAUCUAACAGAUUAUAGAUUCACCUGAUAUUUGUUGUAUUGGAAUUUAGUGAGAUAUAACAUUAAAAUACAAACAUGAGGAGAUCCACGGGUUAUUUAAGAUAGGCAUUCUCAGCACAAAUCAUUAAUUUUGACAUCUUUUAGUUCUGAAAACCAACUGUAGCUAUUUUAAAAUCUUUAUGUUCAGUUUUUAGACUAUACAAAGAAAAGUUCUUGGUCUUAUCAGCUUCCCAAAGUAUGUAAUUCUAAAAACAUGUUUUUUCUUUUAAAAAUAAUAUUUGUAUAUCUGAUAUAUACACAUAUAUUUUUUUACUUUGAAUGUUUAAGCCAAACAUUCAGUCCUUGGCUUCCCGUACUAUUAAGUAAAUUUUAUUAGCUGAAAGAUUGAUAAAUCAUUUCAACACUGAAAAUUUGUAUUCUAAUUGAGCCUUGUCUAUUUUCUUCAUUGUCCUCUGAAAAUGAAUCAAUCAGUCUCGUCUGAUCGUAGUAAAACUUAGACAAGGGAGAAGAAUUCUACUUGGGACUAGACAUCUUACAAAUGAUAUUCAUUUUAAUUUCUCCUUAUAUGAUCACUCUAGGCUGAAAUACUACUAUGUUUGCCACCUAAAUAUGAUUUUUUUAUUAAUUACUGUGCUUGGAAUCUAAAUAUGAUUUUGUGCUUUUAUUAAUUUCUGAAUUUCAUAUCCUUCCAGAUAGUGAAGGAAUAUAGUAGUACCACCUGGGAAUGAUGCCAAUUUGCACUUGUUUUUUGUUUUCUCCCCCCCCACCCAGUAAAGGCAACCAAUAGCUGAUUCAUACUUCCAUUACAUCACAGUUGGAUUACAGAAGUGCUCUUUAGUCCGGCCUCUGCAUGUCUUUUGCAACUCAUUUGUAGAUAAUCCAGAAGCCAGCAGCUGUACUUCAUUUUUGUUCCAACAGUCACCAUUUUAUAAUGCUUCUCUAAGUCACUGUGGUGGAGGAACUUACUUGGAACUGACUGGGAAGGCCAUCUUCUGGUAUAAUCACGUACUCUCCUCAGAGAAUGUGCUAAAACUUCA
This 1148-nucleotide long non-coding RNA is filed under the name Chinchilla lanigera (long-tailed chinchilla). Its description in RNAcentral is "lncRNA (ENSCLAG00000024303.1)". Lineage: Eukaryota; Metazoa; Chordata; Mammalia; Rodentia; Chinchillidae. The record is from RNAcentral.